GGGUUUUUUGUCAUUGUCAUUGCAGCUUUUUAAGAAGUAAGCAUAUUCGUACAGCUUCUUGUUGGGUAAAUAUAGGAUGGUCAUAGUUCUGGCUGAGGAAAUUCUUACAUUUCACAGUAGAAUAAAAAGCACCCGCAUAAGUAGUCCUUUGUGGUAGCAUGAAUUUCAAGUUCUCUGUCAUGGGACAAGUUUAAAAAUAGGCGACUUGAUAAAUAAUUCUGGAGACCUCACUUGUAAAGAGAGUCCCAUAAAAGAGACAUCCUAGUGGUGUUUCUGAUUAUCUUACUUUGGGGUAUGCAGAAAGAGGAAAUAAACAUUAUCCAUGUUGAGAGAAGAUUUUCCACAGAAUUCUGUUAAAAGAUUUCCCCUUGGAAAAGGAAGAACAGUCAUGGGAAUUACUCUGCUCAGGGCUAAAUACUGAGCGUGGCUUCUAACAGAUGUGCAAAGAGUUCAAGGGACUCGGGCCUGGCCACUGAGGCCCUAGAAGAUGUACUGAUUUGGUGAGUUUGUAUCACAGAUAAGACGAAGCCAUUCGCAUGGUGUUAUUACACCCCACAUAAUCCACCUGCAGAUCUCAGAGGGAAAUUGGCUCCCUGCUCCUCUGACCCUGAUGUCCCAGCUAGAGAGGGGGCCUGGCUCCGGUGUAGCCUGGAGUGGCCUGGCUGCUCCUCUGCAGGGCCUCAGGGUUGCACUACUGCAUGGAGACCUCAUCCAACCCCCUCCUUCAACCUCCUCCUGCAUGAAACAAGGGCCUUUUCAGAGGGCCCAGGCAGCUGCAUCACAGUCCAGCAGGAGCCAUGGACAGAGCAGUGCCCUGGAGCACAGCACCAGCCAGGAGCUAACCGCUUCAUGAGAAUGUCCUACCCAGCAGGAGGGAUGCAAGCAGGAGCAAUGGACUGGAAGGCCACAGUGCUGCCCCGGCUCCUACGUAGGCAGAGAAGCCCAGGCCAAUGGGCAGCAAAACCAGCUGACUUAACCCUUCCAAACCCCAAAGUGGUCCCACUAGAGACCAGCAGAGCCAAACCACCACCCUCCAAUGGGUCCGUCCCCCAGCCAGCUCCACCUGAGACUCCAGACUACACCUGCUCCUUCUCAACCACACAGAUCCCUGUGGAGAACAGCGGCUCCUCCAGGUGAAGGACACUCCGCCCCGCCGGGGGGCCACAGGUAAAGACAGACAGUGCCAGGACACGCAGGGGACAGAGUGGCUGGUGCCAGGCCUCAAGCUGGGAGGAGCUGUGGGAACAGGGCAAGGUGGCAUGUGAUGUGCAGGGAAAAGGGUGGGGCCACUCAUCUGCAGACCUGGGCUGGGGGACACCGGGGAGAGGGGCCAGCAGCAGGUGGCAGCGGGAACUCAGAGAGGGGAUGAAGGCUUGAGUCCGGCGCUUGCUCUGCAGUGAGUGACCUCCAGUAGAUGGUGGGGGGCAGGAAAGCUGCGGUAUGCAUAUGUGGAACCCUAGAGCUAACAACGGGAGACUGCAGCGGACCCCAGACAACUGAGACCUUGGGGUCACAAUAUAAGGAGUCAUUGAACAGGAUCAAGCUCAGGGGCUCUGCUCAAAACCUCAAGGUCCACUGAGAUUCUGAGCGCCCAGGAAAGACCUGGGAGACCGGGACUCAGGGGUGCUGGACGUUCCAAACACACACCUUUGAAACGGAAGGAGGCGCCACAGCACAACGCCCACACAGGGCUAACUGCCAGUUUAUUAAGAGAGCAGCCUUCUCAGGCAUCCAGUGCUUUCACUUGGACAGGGGAGGGGAUCCAGCAGCCUGGCUUCUGAGUCCUGGUGCCCAGACUUCUCUGGCCACAGAAGUCCCCAGAGAAGACAGGGCCCAUGCAGGGUAACCUAGGCUUGGCCCAGGCUGCCGGUGUGACUGAGGCUUUGCUGGAAGUAAAUCAGAGCUCAUUUUCACUCCGUCCCCUGCUUCCAUGCGGACCCUGGCAGGGGUUUUGCAAUCCAAUCUCCAGCGCAGAUCUGGCUUCCUGUGAGCACAGCCUGUGACCUAUAUCCACACAGGCCCACAAUCUGCAACUCUAAAAUUAGUAAAAUUGUGACAAAUAGAAGUAUUCUUUUCCAUGAGUUUAGUGCCAACAUUCAUUUGGGAGAAAACGUGAUUCAAACCUUUAUAAGGCUGUCCACGGCUCUCAAGUCCAGCUCGGCUUCGUGACAGAGCUGCCCCGUGCUUGACGAUGGAAUACCAGUCCAGACCCCACUGGGGACUGUAGUCGGUGUACACUGAGUUCCUCUGGGUCACUUAGGCUGUGAUCAGUCAACUUUCUAAGACCUAAAAUUUAAAUUCCGAAACACCCAGCUGCAAGAAUGUAAGGGAAAACACUGUGGAGCUACAGGCAGCAUAAGUGGAAUUUAAUCAAUUGCUGUUUCAGGACGGCAUCAUUGUGCCUUCAAAUUAAGGUCCUGUCACUGCCCGUGAGGGUUCUUUUUCUCUCCGACAGCGACUACAGGCUGGCCGAGCUCGGCCAAAGGCGCCCAGCACUUCGUGUUCCAGCUCGGCCAACAGGCGAUGCCCACCGUCAGAGGCAGCCUUCAGGGCCGCUGCCCGGUGGUGUCACCAGAGGGGACUGGCAAAUGCCACGUGCCAUCCGCUGACACUGCUGCUUGCUGCCAGUCCCCACCGCUGCUCUUCCUGCUGCUGGUCUCUUGAGUCUCAAGGAAACAGCCCGUUUACAGCUCCUUUUGAAAGCACUGGUUCUGUCCACGUUACUCCAGAUAAGAAUCCCACAUAGAUUUACAGGACCACCAAGGUGAAGCUUUAUUAACAGGGCCUGUUGCCGUGGCUCAGGGAGAACAAACUAGGGAGCCCUCCCGGAGCAACCCUACAAGCGUGAGGGAUGCCCUUGCUUAUAUAACAGCAGCAGGCCUGUGAUUGGUCCAAAUUUGAUACUGCCGGUUGGUCCAAGAUUUCUGAUCAGAGACCACUGAUUGGUCCAAAUUGGCUGAAGUUCAAACCCACGUGGUCAGGGCAGCCACCCCCCACAGAGCAGGCUGGGUGUGAGGUAUCUGGGACAGCCACAGGUGUCGUGGUGGCCAUUCUGAGGAUGGUCGGGAGACCUGGCUCUUCCACUGGCAGUGUCAUUUUCUGAGAAAAAGACAGGAAUAAACCCAGGAGGACAUCGGUGUAAUAGAGCUUAUUGGGGUUUGGGGAUAAUGAGCUGGGGCCUGCCCACAUCUGUGCUACCUGAGGGGCAGUUUUCCUACUGCUUCUUUAGCAAGGUGGCAGCAUUUAGAGUGCAGGAGUGGGGAGCAGGACACUGAAGCUGACAGCUAGCUCACACCUCCUGUCAGGGCACCCAGAGCGCAGCCACCAGAUAGUCCAAGGGGAGCCCUGAGGCAAGCUGUCCCUGUCCACCCUUGGGGACCAGGGGGUAGGCAGGUGUUCUGCAGAGUCUGAACUACAGAAUUAUUUCACCAAAUUGUCC
Molecule: long non-coding RNA, 3439 nt
Organism: Fukomys damarensis (Damara mole-rat)
Lineage: Eukaryota; Metazoa; Chordata; Mammalia; Rodentia; Bathyergidae
Source: Ensembl